GGGAGGAGACUGCCGGCUUUACUGAAUGCUUCACCGUAGAGCUUGAAGGUGCAGGAGCUGUCACAAGACUGGUUGUCCAACGAAAUGGUUUAAAAUAUGUUAUGAAGCUGAAAUUUGAUAUGCUUGCUUGCAGUGGAUUUUUUUCGGAAAUCUUCAUCAAAAUGGCUGCAAGUAUAGAAGGAGUGAAUAAAAUUCAGCUAAGACAAAACAGAAAUUGCAAUCUUUUUAGACCAGCUCUAGCAACUCAACAGAAGAUGAUGGAGACUUAAAAACUGGCAGGCACUCAGGACCCAGUGCAGCAAAACACUUAAACACGUUCUUAACUUUAAGAUUGCGAACAAUCCCUCUGACCUCCAUGGGAAGGAGAACAGAGACACAGAGGCCAAGUGACUCACCGAAGCUCACACAACAGCAUGGAUAUAUACUUAAUGAUCACUUCAUAGCAAACAGCUUAAAGUACCUUUUUGUUGUUGUUCUCUUCCUUUAGGGGCAAUCAGCUCCUCACUGAACUCUUACUAUGGGCAAUCAAUAUCCAGAAUUAUACUUCAUCAAUUCUGCAGGAAAAUUUAUUGUUUCAUUUUUCAUAAGCAAAGCCAUGAGUUUGCCCUUGUUAAAGUUGAUAAUGGAGACAUUUUGGAGGAUGCUUCAAGGAGCUGACCAACAUCAUUCUAGGACAACUGAUUUCCAUCCAGUACAUGACCAAACAGAUGAUUGCUAGUGUUGAACAGUAGAUCUACUGGCCUUCUGACAGAUUUGUGGUGCAACUUCAUCAGCAAACAACCCAGGUAAGAUUGCAGAUUUCCCACAUAAGGAAAAUGUUAACAACAUUUUUUUUUAUUUGGGGCUAAUGCUAAUUUUGAAAUUUGGAUUUAGAAGACAGAAUUUGUUAAUCCUAAAACUAGACCCCUUAUUUACCAUUAUGCCAAAGAUCUGUAAACAGUGAUCACUUGUUAAUUUUGGUAAAUGUACCUUUUAGUCCAUCCUGUAAAUCUUUAAGUAUGUAUGAAAGUGUACUAAGAUUUGAUAAAGUCCUACACGCUUCGUCUCAUCUAUGAGUAGCUUGGCAAUAUCUUGUGCUGUAUGCA
This 1085-nucleotide long non-coding RNA is filed under the name Chrysemys picta bellii (western painted turtle). RNAcentral's name for it is "lncRNA (ENSCPBG00000007253.1)". The record is from RNAcentral. Lineage: Eukaryota; Metazoa; Chordata; Testudines; Emydidae.